Bombus huntii is the source of this 2837-nucleotide RNA transcript. RefSeq lists it as uncharacterized. The transcript has 7 exons. The record is from RefSeq and is a predicted model, not a curated record. NCBI's taxonomy places the organism in Eukaryota, Metazoa, Arthropoda, Insecta, Hymenoptera, Apidae.
GUAGCUGUGGAGUGGGCGGCAUGAGCUCGCUAGGGUCGCAGCACUUGGACACGCGAUCAUCGCGCGAUACACACGCUCUUCCCAAAUGCCUCACCGGCUGCAGCUAUUUCCUCGCGACGCGUGCCUUUCGCGCGAUCGUCACGCGUACGACUUAUCGUGAGGGAGGUCAAGGGGAGUCCGGCAGACCUGUCGAACCAUUCGGUACUUACUCUGCUGCCUUCUUUUUGUCAAGGUGCUCGUUGCCGCGGCUCUUUCCCAUUGUGACUCUGCCGCCUUGAAUCGUGACUCGGGUAUAAUACAGUGCGUGGACUACUGCUUUCGUGAGCUGACACCGUGUGUGACGCUGUUCUCUGUGAGACUGUGGUGAAGCAUUAAAGAAGAUUCUUCGAGAAGAUAGACUGGUUAUAAAUUGACCGAUCGCCUGGCCAUGGAUUGGAGACUCGGAUUGCUGUUGUUGACCUGUCUUCUUGUUAACGGCACGGUAGCGUUGAGGAUGCUGGAGCUGGUGGUCCCCCAGCAUGUGGUCCGUGGUCAGAACAUCAAGUUGGAGUGCAACUUUAACCUGGACGGUGAGACGUUAUACUCGGUAAAAUGGUACAAAGACGGGAACGAGUUCUACCGAUACGUGCCGCAGAACAUGCCGCCUGUGCUCGUCUUUCAGCUGCCAGGUGUCACGGCGAACAUUCACAAUUCGACCGAGAGAUCGGUCGUUCUCUAUUCCGUGAACCUAAUGAGCACCGGAAGAUACAGAUGCGAGGUGUCAGCCGAAGCGCCAUCCUUCCAAACGGUCUCCGAUCACUCGGACAUGCUGGUAGUGGCCCUACCGGAAGACGGGCCCAUUAUCACCGGAAGGCCAGGAAGGCAUCGUUAUCAAGUCGGUGACGUGGUGCGGUUCAAUUGCACUUCGGCGAAGUCUAAACCAGCUGCCAUGCUCAGCUGGUUCAUCAACGGGGACCCUGUCGACACGCAAUACUUGAGAGGGCCCCACAUCACUGAGGUGGAUCGCGAGGGUCUGGAAACCGCCGUGCUAGGUCUGGAGUUCCGUCUGCGUACGAAGCACUUCAAGAGGGGGGACCUGAAGAUCAAAUGCCUGGCAACGAUAGCGACCGUAUAUUGGAAAUCGAACGAGCUCAGCAUAGAGGGUGAAAGGCCCCUCAAGAUGCCGGUCAUGGAGAGCAGGGAGACAAGGGCGCAAGGCCAUACGCACGCGGAACAUAUCUUAGGAGAAACAUGAGAACCGCUGUUAUACUUCAGUUAACUCUUGGACAGCGAAUUUGUGGAUGGCGAUGGCUAGGUCAACUUUGAUACGGACAUUUCACGUUUAUACUCUCUAAUGAUAUACUUGCGUGUUAUCGUUUUAUCAGAUUAUAUAUAAACAGUUUUAUUUCUGGGAUAAAUAUUAUUAUUACGUUGGGGAAGCGGAAGCAGCAUGUUAGCGCCGUGUAUCUUCCUGCUGAUGACGAGUAUAUUGAUUCUACGAUAAGAAGGACACACACAACAUGGUGCCGCGUCCUUUUUUGUGCUCAUCCUUUUCAGGCCUCCAAAAACAAGUGUUAUGGAGACCACUGGUGUACUAAAUUAUCCGUGUUGUUUCUAUUUUUUAUAAUCGCAGUUAGUGGAGUUAGCGACGAUAUAGGCGAGAGAAUAUACUUAACAGAGAUAUACGUCAGUAUGUUAGAGAUUAGAAAAUGGGUGGACGCAUAAAUUCGUACUUACUGAAUCGGGUGUGUAAAUCUCCCUGCAUCUUGCACGGAUUUUUUAUACUUUCCAUGUUUCGUUAUCUUAUAGCUUAUAGUCGUUUUUAACACUAUAACGAAAGGCUAAUUUCGAAAUUGACGAACAAUGUUUUUUUUUGUACUUGUAGAAAAAUUUAGUAACUUUAAAUAUAUGAGAAACAAAAAGAUUAAAGUAAUAAAUAGAUUUAGUUAUCUAACCCAAAAUGCAAGAUGACCACUACAAAUGCACAAAAAUUCUUGUCCGAUUGCAUUUUUAAUUUCGACAAUAAUAUAAAAUUGAUUGUCAAUAUAAAAGUAAUGAAACGUAAUAAAAGUAAUUAAAUCUUGUAUGAUGUUAAUAGAAUUUAAAAUGUAACACAAAGUUAACGCUCAUAUGGCGGAGGUAAUGUCGUGUCUGCGGCGUCAUAGUGUUAAAUCCCAGAUUCUCAAGCAAGAUGCAAAGAGAUGUAUAGUCUCGUUAAAGAAAACAUGAUCAUGGUUACUUAAAGAAGCUAUUCAAUCGUUGAUACAACACAGAGAGCAGAGUUUACAAAUCUACGUUCAUCUCAGCAUCUUCAAACUCUCGAGAGUGCGAAAUUACAGCCCUUACGUACUUCUUUUCCUCUCCUUCAUCUCUUACUAUUAAAAAGAAUCGCAAGCGUAAACGAACGAUUAAUAAUCAACCGGAAUGAAUGAAUGAAUGAACGAACGAGCGAACGAACGCCGAGUAUAUUUAUAUUCUAAUUGUACACGAGUGUUUCUAUCGUCCAGUCACGCGAGAGAACAAGCAAAGAUUUUAGCCCCGGUGAGAGUGUUCUCUUUCGUCGUAGCUUUUAUCAAUCUAGUCGCUAUUAAUCAACAGAGAUAUGUUACCCUAGAAGUUAUUGUGAGCCGUGUGUAUGCGCGUGAAUGUAGAGUGUGUUUUACCAAAGAACAUUUUGCGCUAAAUAACAUUCCUAAUUGUUAAUUACAAGUGAAAUACACGGGGUGGUAUAAAAAAAAACCACUACCUGCAUAUCGUAUUUUACUGUAAGAGCACUUUGUACAUAUGUACAUAAAUUGAACCGACUUUUAUCUCUAACUUAACGUUCUGAUAAAUAAAGCGGCGUUUACUUCAAUGGA